CCUGCGCCUGCCGCGGGGCGGUGGAGCCGGGGCCCGCCCGCUUGUGGAUUACAGCUGGAGCCGCCGCCCAGGCGGCCGCGGAGCCUCGCUGGGUCGCCGCGUUUGCCCCCUCUUUUGUUUUUGGAGGGGGCCGGCCGGGAGAGCGUCCCCCGCCCAAGGAGGCGCCGCGAGCAUGGGCGAGUGAAGCCGCGGGGGCUCCCGCCGGCGCCGCCGCGCUAGGGAUGGUGCGCGCCGGCGGGGGGAGGCGGCGGGCAUGAGGCGCGCAGGAUGGGCGCCAACAACGGCAAGCAGUGCGGCAGCGACGGCAAGAAUAUGCUGUGGCAAAAACUGCUAUGGGAAAUGUCAAGGCAAAGGCAGCUCAAGCAUCUCAUCCGAUGUGAGUUCAAGUACAGAUCACACACCCACCAAAGCCCAGAAGAAUGCAGCUACCAGUGAAGGUAGGCAUCUGGUAUUCAUUACCCAGGUCCAGGCCUCCCAGCAUGAUGUUAGCUAUUUUCAGA
This 500-nucleotide long non-coding RNA is filed under the name Apteryx rowi (Okarito brown kiwi). RNAcentral's name for it is "lncRNA (ENSARWG00000011571.1)". The record is from RNAcentral. Lineage: Eukaryota; Metazoa; Chordata; Aves; Apterygiformes; Apterygidae.